AUUGAACGCUGGCGGCAGGCCUAACACAUGCAAGUCGAACGGUAACAGGAAGAAGCUUGCUUCUUUGCUGACGAGUGGCGGACGGGUGAGUAAUGUCUGGGAAACUGCCUGAUGGAGGGGGAUAACUACUGGAAACGGUAGCUAAUACCGCAUAACGUCGCAAGACCAAAGAGGGGGACCUUCGGGCCUCUUGCCAUCGGAUGUGCCCAGAUGGGAUUAGCUAGUAGGUGGGGUAACGGCUCACCUAGGCGACGAUCCCUAGCUGGUCUGAGAGGAUGACCAGCCACACUGGAACUGAGACACGGUCCAGACUCCUACGGGAGGCAGAAGUGGGGAAUAUUGCACAAUGGGCGCAAGCCUGAUGCAGCCAUGCCGCGUGUAUGAAGAAGGCCUUCGGGUUGUAAAGUACUUUCAGCGGGGAGGAAGGGAGUAAAGUUAAUACCCUUGCUGAUUGACGUUACCCGCAGAAGAAGCACCGGCUAACUACGUG
RNAcentral lists this ribosomal RNA (490 nucleotides) under uncultured bacterium. RNAcentral's name for it is "partial 16S ribosomal RNA". It matches the Rfam family "Bacterial small subunit ribosomal RNA", at positions 30 to 507 of the family's 1533-position model. The record is from RNAcentral.